RNAcentral lists this ribosomal RNA (253 nucleotides) under uncultured bacterium. RNAcentral's name for it is "partial 16S ribosomal RNA". It matches the Rfam family "Bacterial small subunit ribosomal RNA", at positions 524 to 776 of the family's 1533-position model. The record is from RNAcentral.
UACGUAGGGUCCGAGCGUUGUCCGGAAUUAUUGGGCGUAAAGGGCUCGUAGGCGGUCUGUUGCGUCGGGAGUGAAAACUUACAGCUUAACUGUGAGCGUGCUUUCGAUACGGGCAGACUUGAGGCAUUCAGGGGAGAACGGAAUUCCUGGUGUAGCGGUGAAAUGCGCAGAUAUCAGGAGGAACACCGGUGGCGAAGGCGGCCUUCUGGACAAUGACUGACGCUAAAACACGAAAGCGUGGGGAGCAAACAGG